Molecule: ribosomal RNA, 550 nt
Filed under: uncultured bacterium
Lineage: Bacteria
Description: bacterial SSU rRNA
Rfam family: Bacterial small subunit ribosomal RNA
Source: RNAcentral
UGGGGAAUCUUCCGCAAUGGACGAAAGUCUGACGGAGCAACGCCGCGUGAGUGAUGACGGCCUUCGGGUUGUAAAGCUCUGUUAAUCGGGACGAAAGGCCUUCUUGCGAAUAGUUAGAAGGAUUGACGGUACCGGAAUAGAAAGCCACGGCUAACUACGUGCCAGCAGCCGCGGUAAUACGUAGGUGGCAAGCGUUGUCCGGAAUUAUUGGGCGUAAAGCGCGCGCAGGCGGAUUGGUCAGUCUGUCUUAAAAGUUCGGGGCUUAACCCCGUGAUGGGACGGAAACUGCCAAUCUAGAGUAUCGGAGAGGAAAGUGGAAUUCCUAGUGUAGCGGUGAAAUGCGUAGAUAUUAGGAAGAACACCAGUGGCGAAGGCGACUUUCUGGACGAAAACUGACGCUGAGGCGCGAAAGCCAGGGGAGCGAACGGGAUUAGAUACCCCGGUAGUCCUGGCCGUAAACGAUGGGUACUAGGUGUAGGAGGUAUCGACCCCUUCUGUGCCGGAGUUAACGCAAUAAGUACCCCGCCUGGGGAGUACGACCGCAAGGUUG